UCCCAGUUCGGAUUGUAGUCUGCAACCCGACUACAUGAAGCUGGAAUCGCUAGUAAUCGCGAAUCAGAAUGUCGCGGUGAAUACGUUCCCGGGUCUUGUACACACCGCCCGUCACACCAUGGGAGUCGGAAAUGCCCGAAGUCAGUGACCUAACCGAAAGGGAGGAGCUGCCGAAGGUGGAGCCGGUAACUGGGGUGAAGUCGUAACAAGGUAUC
Molecule: ribosomal RNA, 215 nt
Filed under: uncultured bacterium
Lineage: Bacteria
Description: partial 16S ribosomal RNA
Rfam family: Bacterial small subunit ribosomal RNA
Source: RNAcentral